This 69-nucleotide transfer RNA is filed under the name Hospesneotomae barberi. RNAcentral describes it as "Triatoma barberi tRNA-Lys". The record is from RNAcentral. Lineage: Eukaryota; Metazoa; Arthropoda; Insecta; Hemiptera; Reduviidae.
CAUUAAGUGACUGAAAGUAAGUAAUGGUCUCUUAAACCAAAAGAUGGUAAUUUACAACUACCCUUAAUG